This is a long non-coding RNA of Vicia villosa (hairy vetch), 336 nucleotides long. RefSeq lists it as uncharacterized. The transcript has 2 exons. The record is from RefSeq and is a predicted model, not a curated record. NCBI's taxonomy places the organism in Eukaryota, Viridiplantae, Streptophyta, Magnoliopsida, Fabales, Fabaceae.
AAGGUUGAAAGUGUGAACUGGAUAGAGACCUCGUCGAGAGAGACAUACCGUUCUCAUGUAGCGUAAGUUGAAUGUGUUUGAAGCUUGCUAAGGCUGUUAGCAAUUGGGGAUAGUUAAGGUAUCCUGGUGUCGUGAAGACUUGCAAGAUGUGAAUGUCUUUGGCUAGGAGUUCAAGAUCAGCUUAGGGUUUUGUUUCAGAGUGUUGUCUGUGUUUGUUUGGGAAGUUUGUUGUUAAAGCUGAAUGCUUAAUUUGUGUGUGUGGUUUUGACCUUUACUUGUUGUCAAAUACUCUGUACGCAAUUAUAUUCAAGUGGUCAAAUAUUUUAUGACCUUGGG